RNAcentral lists this ribosomal RNA (449 nucleotides) under uncultured bacterium. RNAcentral describes it as "partial 16S ribosomal RNA". It matches the Rfam family "Bacterial small subunit ribosomal RNA", at positions 354 to 796 of the family's 1533-position model. The record is from RNAcentral.
GUCGAGAAUCUUUCACAAUGGGGGCAACCCUGAUGGAGCGACGCCGCGUGGAGGAUAAGGUCUUCGGAUUGUAAACUCCUGUCAUGCGUGAACAAGGUUGCUUGGUUAAUACCUGGGCAAAUUGAUGGUAACGCAAGAGGAAGAGACGGCUAACUCUGUGCCAGCAGCCGCGGUAAUACAGAGGUCUCAAGCGCUGUUCGGAAUCACUGGGCGUAAAGGGUGCGUAGGUGGCGUGGUAAGUCAGAUGUGAAAGCCCGGGGCUCAACCUCGGAACUGCAUCCGAUACUGCCAUGCUAGAGUACUGGAGAGGUGACUAGAAUUCUCGGUGUAGCAGUGAAAUGCGUAGAUAUCGAGAGGAAUACCAAAGGCGUAGGCAGGUCACUGGACAGUUACUGACACUGAGGCACGAAGGCCAGGGGAGCGAACGGGAUUAGAUACCCCGGUAGUCC